RNAcentral lists this ribosomal RNA (426 nucleotides) under uncultured bacterium. RNAcentral describes it as "bacterial SSU rRNA". It matches the Rfam family "Bacterial small subunit ribosomal RNA", at positions 355 to 772 of the family's 1533-position model. The record is from RNAcentral.
UCGGGAAUUUUGGGCAAUGGGCGAAAGCCUGACCCAGCAACGCCGCGUGAGGGAUGAAGGCCUUCGGGUCGUAAACCUCUGUCGGGAGGGACGAAAGGUAAACGGGUGAACAAUCCGGGUGCUUGACGGUACCUCCAAAGGAAGCGCCGGCUAACUCCGUGCCAGCAGCCGCGGUAAUACGGAGGGCGCAAGCGUUGUUCGGAAUCACUGGGCGUAAAGCGCGUGCAGGCGGCUUGGUAAGUCGGGUGUGAAAUCCCGGAGCUCAACUCCGGAACUGCACCCGAUACUGCCUCGCUAGAGUCCCGGAGAGGAUGGCGGAAUUUCCGGUGUAGAGGUGAAAUUCGUAGAUAUCGGAAGGAACACCAGCGGCGAAGGCGGCCAUCUGGACGGUGACUGACGCUCAGACGCGAAAGCGUGGGGAGCAAA